AAUCAUGAGCUCCGGUGCGAAGCCCUGGCUGGCCGGACGGCAACCCUCGACGCUGUAGCGGGGUGCCCCAGGUGAGGAUUCGGCCCGUGUCACCACCGCGCGGGUAAGUACGGCGU
This 116-nucleotide non-coding RNA is filed under the name Kocuria flava. Its description in RNAcentral is "SAM-IV sequence". It matches the Rfam family "SAM (S-adenosyl methionine) riboswitch aptamer". From Rfam's summary of the family: SAM-IV is a mRNA element that regulates gene expression via direct sensing of S-adenosylmethionine (SAM or AdoMet). SAM-IV riboswitches share conserved nucleotide positions with the previously described SAM-I riboswitches sequence analysis and molecular recognition experiments suggest that SAM-I and SAM-IV riboswitches share similar ligand binding sites, but have different scaffolds. The record is from Rfam by way of RNAcentral. Lineage: Bacteria; Bacillati; Actinomycetota; Actinomycetes; Micrococcales; Micrococcaceae.